UACGUAGGGUGCUAGCGUUGUUCGGAUUUACUGGGCGUAAAGCGCACGUAGGCGGAUUGUUAAGUCAGGGGUGAAAUCCUGGAGCUCAACUCCAGAACUGCCUUUGAUACUGGCAAUCUCGAGUCCGGAAGAGGUAAGUGGAACUCCUAGUGUAGAGGUGGAAUUCGUAGAUAUUAGGAAGAACACCAGUGGCGAAGGCGGCUUACUGGUCCGGAACUGACGCUGAGGUGCGAAAGCGUGGGGAGCAAACAGG
This 253-nucleotide ribosomal RNA is filed under the name uncultured bacterium. RNAcentral describes it as "partial 16S ribosomal RNA". It matches the Rfam family "Bacterial small subunit ribosomal RNA", at positions 524 to 776 of the family's 1533-position model. The record is from RNAcentral.